UUUCUAAAUCCCAUGUAGGCUUUUUAGGUCGCAAAGUUACCAAAUCUAGUUCUUCAACAGGAACAGAACUUUGUUCUUCAAUUUUUCUCUUAGUCUUUUCUUCAAUCUCCUUCGAUAAUGCUUCAACUGAUUCAAUCAUGUUUGGCGGUUCCACGAAUCCCAUUUUAGGUGCCUGCACUUCUGGAUCAUAAUUUCGAUGCUCAAUUACAUUUUUUUGAACCUCUUGAGAAUCGCGAGUUUUAUUCUCUAACUGCUUUAUUUUCCUCAAUUCCGCUAAUCUCUGUUUUCUGGACUCUGCUACCUCAUCUAAUGAAGACAUUUUUUGUUCCAAUACAAAAACACAAAAUUCGGAAAAACCACACUAUAAAACCAGAAUGAAUGUAGUAAGAUACUUUUUUUGUA
Schizosaccharomyces pombe (fission yeast) is the source of this 402-nucleotide non-coding RNA. NCBI's taxonomy places the organism in Eukaryota, Fungi, Ascomycota, Schizosaccharomycetes, Schizosaccharomycetales, Schizosaccharomycetaceae. The record is from the annotation of a GenBank genome assembly.